UACUACAGGAAGCUGCAGGAUGAAGGAGU
RNAcentral lists this non-coding RNA (29 nucleotides) under Rattus norvegicus (Norway rat). The record is from RNAcentral. Lineage: Eukaryota; Metazoa; Chordata; Mammalia; Rodentia; Muridae.